Long non-coding RNA from Chiroxiphia lanceolata (lance-tailed manakin), 442 nucleotides. RefSeq lists it as uncharacterized. The transcript is spliced from 3 exons. NCBI's taxonomy places the organism in Eukaryota, Metazoa, Chordata, Aves, Passeriformes, Pipridae. The record is from RefSeq and is a predicted model, not a curated record.
UGGUGGCUUUUGGGAAGCAAUGUUAAAUCAAACUGUUGCAGUCCCUGCCCCAGAGUGCUUGCAUUUAAACACUCACCUUCUGGCUCCAAGCUUCCAUUGAAUCUGACUUAGUCUAAGGGAGCUGAUGAAACUGCACAGUCCAAGGUAAACCCUAGUGCAGUGGCAACUUUUACUCUGACACCUUUUAUUAAAUAUGUGUGUGCCUUUGGUGGGAGAUUUGCAAAGGGGGUGAAUAACACAAUAUUGUACACCAAGUGAUUGUACCAGUGUGCUUCUAUAUCCUGUCCCUGAGCCCUUUCACUCUCCCCUGCUUUUUAUCAUGGUUGUGUGUGUGCCUGAGCUCUGCUCCGUUGAAUGAUCUGUACACAAGGGUGGGUCACGACAGGAGAGGGAUAUGCUACCAGUCUUCAGUAGGAAAGACUAGUCUGAGAUGCUGAACUCC